CUGGGUUUCAGUGAAUUUGCUGGUUGUAGGCAUCACAAGGACUACAACUGAAAGGUUUUCUAUUUGCUGACCAAGAAGGCAUCACUGGAUCCAUGGUGUGGAAGUGAAAAUGGUUAUCCAUGAAAACUUUAGUCAGAACACUGCCUGUUGGUAUUGUGUGCUCUAAUGGAAGAAGCAGAAUCCAAGCUAAGUUGAAGCAUUAUCCAGAGAAACCUACAGUCUGACUGUUCUACAGUCCUGUCCUCUGAUAUUGUGUCCCAUGUCUUUCUAAGGUUUUCAUUUGGCAAUGGCAA
Molecule: long non-coding RNA, 293 nt
Organism: Pezoporus occidentalis (night parrot)
Lineage: Eukaryota; Metazoa; Chordata; Aves; Psittaciformes; Psittacidae
Exons: 3
Source: RefSeq, a predicted model, not a curated record